This 468-nucleotide ribosomal RNA is filed under the name uncultured bacterium. RNAcentral describes it as "partial 16S ribosomal RNA". It matches the Rfam family "Bacterial small subunit ribosomal RNA", at positions 28 to 507 of the family's 1533-position model. The record is from RNAcentral.
GACGAACGCUGGCGGCGUGCUUAACACAUGCAAGUCGAACGGAAAGGCCCUGCUUUUGUGGGUUGCUCGAGUGGCGAACGGGUGAGUAACACGUGAGUAACCUGCCCUUGACUUUGUGAUAACUUCAGGAAACAGGGGCUAAUAUCGGAUAGGAUCUCCUGCUGCAUGGUGUGGGUUGGAAAGUUUCGGCGGUUGGGGCUGGACUCGCGGCUUAUCAGCUUGUUGGUGGGGUAGUGGCUUACCAAGGCUGUGACGGGUAGCCGGCAUGAGAGGGUGACCGGCCACAUGGGGACUGAGAGACGGCGCAGACUCCUACGGGAGGCAGCAGUGGGGAAUAUUGCACAAUGGGCGGAAGCCUGAUGCAGCAACGCCGCGUGCGGGAUGACGGCUUUCGGGUUGUAAACCGCUUUGGCCGGUGACGAAGCGUGAGUGACGGUAAUGGGUCAAGAAGCAACGGCUAACUACGUG